Molecule: long non-coding RNA, 1165 nt
Filed under: Cricetulus griseus (Chinese hamster)
Lineage: Eukaryota; Metazoa; Chordata; Mammalia; Rodentia; Cricetidae
Description: lncRNA (ENSCGRG00015037177.1)
Source: RNAcentral
CUUCAGAGCCCCACCUGGGCUUCUGCUUUCAAACAAGCUCUUAAGGAGGGAAGAAUCUACUAUCUGUUAGAACAUGAGCACUAAGGACACAAGAAUACUUGUGAAUGAAGAAACUGAUGAAAAUCUGACUUUGUUUAGUGAGACCAACCCCCACUGUGUAGUCCUUGCAGUGCUGGAGCUUAAUAUGCAGAAUCACAAAGACCCACCUGCCUGUGCCUCCCAAGUGCUUCAUUAAAGGUGCAUGCCACCACGCCCAGCAUGAUAAAGUUUUAUAUUUUAUAUUAUAAAAUAUAAAAACAGCACGCCAGUGCUGUGGCAGGAGGGUAGCAAGUCUCGAGUUAAGCACCAGCUGGGCUACUGUGGAGGUUUGAAUGAGAGAUGUCCCCCAUUGGCUCAUGUACAUUAACACCUUGUCCAUGGUUAGUGGUGCUGUCUGGGGAGGUGUAGAUGGUGGUGCUGUCUGGGGAGGUGUAGAUGGUGGUGCUGUCUGGGGAGGUGUAGACGGUGCCUUAAUCUACAUGCUGCUACAUGGCUUGUUGUUUUACCUCUCUCCUCUUGCAUAUCCUGCUUCUUCUCUGUCUCCUCUGGAAUCUCUCUUGAGCCUAGAUUCGUCUCCUCUUCUUUUUUCUCUGCCCAGAAUUCCUGCCUAAUCUCUUCCUGCCUAGCUAUUGGCCUUUAGUCAGCUCUUUAUUAAACCAAUCAGAUGGCACUUUGACAAAGGACACAUCUUCAGUAUACAAAAAGAUUAUUCCACAACAGAGCUAGGCUGUGGAAAUAAUUGAAGGUAUAUUGACAAUUGGCCUGCGAGGAGACAACAGUGACGGGCUACAAAUGAAGCAGGUUUUCUGCCAUUGUCCUCCUCUUCUAUUUAAUUUGGCUGGAUAUCUAGAACCAUUGUGUCAUUAAUGGUGAGUUCCAGUGAUGAAAAGAAAUUUUGCAGGAGAGUAAAGACACAAAAGAAAUAAAUUCGUGUACAUGCUUUUCUUUCUUUUUCCUUCUCCUGUGUUGGGGAUGGAACCCAAGACCCCAAGCAUUGUUUUACAACAUGCUACUACUAUACUGUAUCCAGCACUCCACACUCAUUUCCGCUUAUUUAUUUGGAAUAUGUACACAUCUGUAUGCAGGUGUGAUGGGGGAGGUCCUUCUGUAUAUAUGUUUGUCUUAU